Molecule: long non-coding RNA, 1973 nt
Organism: Poecilia latipinna (sailfin molly)
Lineage: Eukaryota; Metazoa; Chordata; Actinopteri; Cyprinodontiformes; Poeciliidae
Exons: 3
Source: RefSeq, a predicted model, not a curated record
UUAAAAAACAAAACAUUUCUCUUACAGCGGGGUUUCUUUAAAUGUUCAAGAUCUCGCUCCUUCUUGUGCCGGAGCUCUAUUUGGAAUCAUGAAUACAUGCGGGGCAUUCUCAGGAGUCCUGAUGGUGUACUUCUCGGGGUAUCUCAUUGAGGCCACAGGCUCGUGGGCAUCAGUGUUUGCCCUCAUCACCACAGUCAACCUGAUGGGCCUCUUCACCUUCCUGGCAUUUGCCGAGGCUCGCAGAGUCGACAUCGACUCCGGCAGGGUCCGCCACCAUAGCAUCCACAUCUAAGUCGUUGAUGGAACGAGUGCGUUAUUCCCUAUUAAAAUGUUACUGUGGUUAAUCUAUAGGCAGAUUAUCCACAUUGGAUUAUUAUCCAAUAGAUGAUGAGUGGCAUCUUGCACAGUUGAGACGGGAGAAAUGGUUGUUUAUCUCUGCGUUUACUAGAGGUCUUUAAGGCUACUGAAAAGCACACAGCAGAGCAUUGUUACUGAGAAACUCUAAUUGGGGUUCAGAAGGAGGGGAGCCCUGUCCGUUCAGAAAAAAAUGUAGGAGAGUAUACUUGCACUACGUCCAGGUUACAGCUGGUGAAGUGGUUAAACAUUUGAGAGGAAACUGUUUACAUUUGUAAUGCAUUACAGGCCACAUCGGAAGUGGAAAAGCUGCAGAGAUUGUUUUGUGAAAGCUGUUGCUAAGUGCUGGGUACUGCAGAGGGAACUCAGUGGUGGAGGUGUUAGCUUGAGGUGCUGUCUGGCUGUGACAGACAAAGCUGGACUUCUUCUUACCUUGUAGGUGACCCAAGGAGAGUCCGAACUAUACCUGGAGCAUUUUACUCGAAAGCCCCAUAAACUUAUCACUGAGAUAAAUAUCCUAGUGACAUCUCAUUAAGCGCCCGCUAAUGACUCUGGCGGACACCCUUAAUGUUGUGUACAAUUUACCUUCAGCGGACCUUGUGUUUGCAGUUACAGGCUCGUCCUAUUAGUUUUCAAUGGGGGUCAGAAAGCUUUAGGGCUUAGCUUUAGCUGAGUGCUUUCUCUCUGAUAGAUGUAUUAAAUACAGUAAUGCAAUUUGUGAGACCAAAGGUUAAUAGUAAAUUAUUAUUUUUUUCUAUGUUACAGCGUCUAAUAAAAUCUCAUUAAAUUAUUUUUGAGCAAUUUCAUAUUUAUAUGGUUUUGAAAUAUUUUUUCUUUGAAGAGAAAUUAAUGUGAAAGAGGGAAAAAAAAUAUGAAAGGACAAAUGGAAAAGAUGAGACCUGAUAUUGUGUGUGAGUGUGUGUGUGCUAAUCUUAUCUUGUUCUUCCUCUAAAAAUAAAUGUUUUUAUGUCUGGCACACAUGUUUAUCAGAAAGAUAUCCAGAUUUUAAUUUCCCACUUUGUUACUGAAAUCUUAAACUGUAAAUGAUCACAGUGGGAGUGGGGAACCUGGAUUAUUUCUUCAUUGUCUCAUUGGACCAGUGUUUGUUUUCUACACUUCACAUAAUGAAAAUUACCGCAGAUAAAAGGGUUGAAGGGAUUUAUUAAGGCUACAGAUUUAACAACAACAACAAAAAAAGGCAAUUACGGAUAUAUCAACAAAUACCAGCUAAGUCUAAGUGUUAAAGCGGUGGCCUUCAGAACACAGUUUUCAUGUGAAAUGCAUUAUGCUCAUUUACUUUUUAUGCAUUUAUUAUUUUGUGCCUCAUUUAAGCAACAAAGGAUUUGGAGUUUUGGUUGUUAAUAAAGUUGUAGGAACUUUGUUGUUAUGUUUUUGUGCGAGUUGUUUAUGUGAAUACAAAGCAAUGGCAGGUGUUUUUUGUUUCUUUUUUUGCAUCUUCUAGUGCUAAUUUAGUUUUGGAAAUGUUCACUGCAUUUCAUUAAAUUAUGUUUUGCUAUUUAGAUAAAAAAAAAUACACAAUUGCAGAAAGUGUUUUCUUUUUUUCUGUGUAUUUUCAGAAUUAAUUUAGUUUCCUAUUGACAUAAACUGAUGAACCACAA